RNAcentral lists this ribosomal RNA (468 nucleotides) under uncultured bacterium. RNAcentral describes it as "partial 16S ribosomal RNA". It matches the Rfam family "Bacterial small subunit ribosomal RNA", at positions 28 to 507 of the family's 1533-position model. The record is from RNAcentral.
GACGAACGCUGGCGGCGUGCUUAACACAUGCAAGUCGAACGGAAAGGCCCUGCUUUUGGGGGGUGCUCGAGUGGCGAACGGGUGAGUAACACGUGAGUAACCUGCCCUUGACUUUGGGAUAACUUCAGGAAACUGGGGCUAAUACCGGAUAGGAGCUCCUGCUGCAUGGUGGGGGUUGGAAAGUUUCGGCGGUUGGGGAUGGACUCGCGGCUUAUCAGCUUGUUGGUGGGGUAGUGGCUUACCAAGGCUUUGACGGGUAGCCGGCCUGAGAGGGUAACCGGCCACAUUGGGACUGAGAUACGGCCCAGACUCCUACGGGAGGCAGCAGUGGGGAAUAUUGCACAAUGGGCGGAAGCCUGAUGCAGCAACGCCGCGUGCGGGAUGACGGCCUUCGGGUUGUAAACCGCUUUCGCCUGUGACGAAGCGUGAGUGACGGUAAUGGGUAAAGAAGCACCGGCUAACUACGUG